This 467-nucleotide ribosomal RNA is filed under the name uncultured bacterium. RNAcentral's name for it is "partial 16S ribosomal RNA". It matches the Rfam family "Bacterial small subunit ribosomal RNA", at positions 28 to 507 of the family's 1533-position model. The record is from RNAcentral.
GACGAACGCUGGCGGCGUGCUUAACACAUGCAAGUCGAACGGAAAGGCCUCUUUCGGGGGGUACUCGAGUGGCGAACGGGUGAGUAACACGUGAGUAACCUGCCCUUGACUUUGGGAUAACUUCAGGAAACUGGGGCUAAUACCGGAUAGGAGCUCCUGCUGCAUGGUGGGGGUUGGAAGGUUUCGGCGGUUGGGGAUGGACUCGCGGCUUAUCAGCUUGUUGGUGGGGUAGUGGCUUACCAAGGCUUUGACGGGUAGCCGGCCUGAGAGGGUGACCGGCCACAUUGGGACUGAGAGACGGCCCAGACUCCUACGGGAGGCAGCAGUGGGGAAUAUUGCACAAUGGGUGGAAGCCUGAUGCAGCAACGCCGUGUGCGGGAUGACGGCCUUCGGGUUGUAAACCGCUUUCGCUCAUGACGAAGCUUUGUGUGACGGUAGUGGGUAAAGAAGCACCGGCUAACUACGUG